Molecule: ribosomal RNA, 511 nt
Filed under: Salmonella enterica
Lineage: Bacteria; Pseudomonadati; Pseudomonadota; Gammaproteobacteria; Enterobacterales; Enterobacteriaceae
Description: bacterial SSU rRNA
Rfam family: Bacterial small subunit ribosomal RNA
Source: RNAcentral
AUGUGAAAUCCCCGGGCUCAACCUGGGAACUGCAUUCGAAACUGGCAGGCUUGAGUCUUGUAGAGGGGGGUAGAAUUCCAGGUGUAGCGGUGAAAUGCGUAGAGAUCUGGAGGAAUACCGGUGGCGAAGGCGGCCCCCUGGACAAAGACUGACGCUCAGGUGCGAAAGCGUGGGGAGCAAACAGGAUUAGAUACCCUGGUAGUCCACGCCGUAAACGAUGUCUACUUGGAGGUUGUGCCCUUGAGGCGUGGCUUCCGGAGCUAACGCGUUAAGUAGACCGCCUGGGGAGUACGGCCGCAAGGUUAAAACUCAAAUGAAUUGACGGGGGCCCGCACAAGCGGUGGAGCAUGUGGUUUAAUUCGAUGCAACGCGAAGAACCUUACCUGGUCUUGACAUCCACAGAAGAAUCCAGAGAUGGAUUUGUGCCUUCGGGAACUGUGAGACAGGUGCUGCAUGGCUGUCGUCAGCUCGUGUUGUGAAAUGUUGGGUUAAGUCCCGCAACGAGCGCAAC